GUAUCCAAUCCCGCGAACGAGGCGCUUGCCAAGACCGCAACGCCUUCACUUUUCGGCUUUUACCCACCUUGAACAGCGGGUUAAGCCGAGAACGCGUGAUAACUGCCCACGCCGAUCUGUCUUCUGAUCAAUAAGGUCCACCGCCUCCGGCGGUUGAAUCGUUCAUACGUUCCCCCAAACUGCCCGGCUCUCGCGCUGGGCAUUUUUUUGUAUCUUUCGCCUCCUGGUGAGCCUUCGCAA
This 240-nucleotide unclassified non-coding RNA is filed under the name Hevea brasiliensis (rubber tree). Lineage: Eukaryota; Viridiplantae; Streptophyta; Magnoliopsida; Malpighiales; Euphorbiaceae. The record is from RNAcentral.